Molecule: ribosomal RNA, 945 nt
Filed under: Brachybacterium phenoliresistens
Lineage: Bacteria; Bacillati; Actinomycetota; Actinomycetes; Micrococcales; Dermabacteraceae
Description: bacterial SSU rRNA
Rfam family: Bacterial small subunit ribosomal RNA
Source: RNAcentral
UGCAAGUCGAACGAUGAAGGCCGUGCUUGCACGGCUGGAUUAGUGGCGAACGGGUGAGUAACACGUGAGUAACCUGCCCUUCACUCUGGGAUAACCUCGGGAAAUCGGGGCUAAUACCGGAUACGAGUGCCCACCGCAUGGUGGAUGCUGGAAAGUUUUUCGGUGAAGGAUGGACUCGCGGCCUAUCAGUUUGUUGGUGAGGUAAUGGCUCACCAAGACGAUGACGGGUAGCCGGCCUGAGAGGGCGACCGGCCACACUGGGACUGAGACACGGCCCAGACUCCUACGGGAGGCAGCAGUGGGGAAUAUUGCACAAUGGGCGAAAGCCUGAUGCAGCGACGCCGCGUGAGGGAUGACGGCCUUCGGGUUGUAAACCUCUUUCAGUAGGGAAGAAGCGAAAGUGACGGUACCUGCAGAAGAAGCGCCGGCUAACUACGUGCCAGCAGCCGCGGUAAUACGUAGGGCGCAAGCGUUGUCCGGAAUUAUUGGGCGUAAAGAGCUUGUAGGUGGCUUGUCGCGUCUGCCGUGAAAAUCCAGGGCUUAACUCUGGACGUGCGGUGGGUACGGGCAGGCUAGAGUGUGGUAGGGGAGACUGGAACUCCUGGUGUAGCGGUGAAAUGCGCAGAUAUCAGGAAGAACACCGAUGGCGAAGGCAGGUCUCUGGGCCAUUACUGACACUGAGAAGCGAAAGCAUGGGGAGCGAACAGGAUUAGAUACCCUGGUAGUCCAUGCCGUAAACGUUGGGCACUAGGUGUGGGCGACAUUCCACGUUGUCUGCGCCGUAGCUAACGCAUUAAGUGCCCCGCCUGGGGAGUACGGCCGCAAGGCUAAAACUCAAAGGAAUUGACGGGGGGCCCGCACAAGCGGCGGAGCAUGCGGAUUAAUUCGAUGCAACGCGAAGAACCUUACCAAGGCUUGACAUGCACCGGACAGCUGCAGAGAUGU